Thalassophryne amazonica is the source of this 104-nucleotide long non-coding RNA. RefSeq lists it as uncharacterized. The transcript has 3 exons. The record is from RefSeq and is a predicted model, not a curated record. NCBI's taxonomy places the organism in Eukaryota, Metazoa, Chordata, Actinopteri, Batrachoidiformes, Batrachoididae.
AAUCAAAUUUGACUUUUUUCUGCAUUCAAGUUACGAUCACCGGUGUCCCCGCCCAUUCCAAAACAGAAGCUAAAGGGUUUUAGCCAUACUCAUGCUCCCCAGAA